Molecule: ribosomal RNA, 2640 nt
Filed under: Escherichia coli
Lineage: Bacteria; Pseudomonadati; Pseudomonadota; Gammaproteobacteria; Enterobacterales; Enterobacteriaceae
Description: partial 23S ribosomal RNA
Rfam family: Bacterial large subunit ribosomal RNA
Source: RNAcentral
AGCCCAGAGCCUGAAUCAGUGUGUGUGUUAGUGGAAGCGUCUGGAAAGGCGCGCGAUACAGGGUGACAGCCCCGUACACAAAAAUGCACAUACUGUGAGCUCGAUGAGUAGGGCGGGACACGUGGUAUCCUGUCUGAAUAUGGGGGGACCAUCCUCCAAGGCUAAAUACUCCUGACUGACCGAUAGUGAACCAGUACCGUGAGGGAAAGGCGAAAAGAACCCCGGCGAGGGGAGUGAAAAAGAACCUGAAACCGUGUACGUACAAGCAGUGGGAGCCUCUUUAUGGGGUGACUGCGUACCUUUUGUAUAAUGGGUCAGCGACUUAUAUUCUGUAGCAAGGUUAACCGAAUAGGGGAGCCGAAGGGAAACCGAGUCUUAACUGGGCGUUAAGUUGCAGGGUAUAGACCCGAAACCCGGUGAUCUAGCCAUGGGCAGGUUGAAGGUUGGGUAACACUAACUGGAGGACCGAACCGACUAAUGUUGAAAAAUUAGCGGAUGACUUGUGGCUGGGGGUGAAAGGCCAAUCAAACCGGGAGAUAGCUGGUUCUCCCCGAAAGCUAUUUAGGUAGCGCCUCGUGAAUUCAUCUCCGGGGGUAGAGCACUGUUUCGGCAAGGGGGUCAUCCCGACUUACCAACCCGAUGCAAACUGCGAAUACCGGAGAAUGUUAUCACGGGAGACACACGGCGGGUGCUAACGUCCGUCGUGAAGAGGGAAACAACCCAGACCGCCAGCUAAGGUCCCAAAGUCAUGGUUAAGUGGGAAACGAUGUGGGAAGGCCCAGACAGCCAGGAUGUUGGCUUAGAAGCAGCCAUCAUUUAAAGAAAGCGUAAUAGCUCACUGGUCGAGUCGGCCUGCGCGGAAGAUGUAACGGGGCUAAACCAUGCACCGAAGCUGCGGCAGCGACACUGUGUGUUGUUGGGUAGGGGAGCGUUCUGUAAGCCUGUGAAGGUGUGCUGUGAGGCAUGCUGGAGGUAUCAGAAGUGCGAAUGCUGACAUAAGUAACGAUAAAGCGGGUGAAAAGCCCGCUCGCCGGAAGACCAAGGGUUCCUGUCCAACGUUAAUCGGGGCAGGGUGAGUCGACCCCUAAGGCGAGGCCGAAAGGCGUAGUCGAUGGGAAACAGGUUAAUAUUCCUGUACUUGGUGUUACUGCGAAGGGGGGACGGAGAAGGCUAUGUUGGCCGGGCGACGGUUGUCCCGGUUUAAGCGUGUAGGCUGGUUUUCCAGGCAAAUCCGGAAAAUCAAGGCUGAGGCGUGAUGACGAGGCACUACGGUGCUGAAGCAACAAAUGCCCUGCUUCCAGGAAAAGCCUCUAAGCAUCAGGUAACAUCAAAUCGUACCCCAAACCGACACAGGUGGUCAGGUAGAGAAUACCAAGGCGCUUGAGAGAACUCGGGUGAAGGAACUAGGCAAAAUGGUGCCGUAACUUCGGGAGAAGGCACGCUGAUAUGUAGGUGAAGCGACUUGCUCGUGGAGCUGAAAUCAGUCGAAGAUACCAGCUGGCUGCAACUGUUUAUUAAAAACACAGCACUGUGCAAACACGAAAGUGGACGUAUACGGUGUGACGCCUGCCCGGUGCCGGAAGGUUAAUUGAUGGGGUUAGCGGUAACGCGAAGCUCUUGAUCGAAGCCCCGGUAAACGGCGGCCGUAACUAUAACGGUCCUAAGGUAGCGAAAUUCCUUGUCGGGUAAGUUCCGACCUGCACGAAUGGCGUAAUGAUGGCCAGGCUGUCUCCACCCGAGACUCAGUGAAAUUGAACUCGCUGUGAAGAUGCAGUGUACCCGCGGCAAGACGGAAAGACCCCGUGAACCUUUACUAUAGCUUGACACUGAACAUUGAGCCUUGAUGUGUAGGAUAGGUGGGAGGCUUUGAAGUGUGGACGCCAGUCUGCAUGGAGCCGGCCUUGAAAUACCACCCUUUAAUGUUUGAUGUUCUAACGUUGGCCCCUGACCGGGGUUGCGGACAGUGUCUGGUGGGUAGUUUGACUGGGGCGGUCUCCUCCUAAAGAGUAACGGAGGAGCACGAAGGUUGGCUAAUCCUGGUCGGACAUCAGGAGGUUAGUGCAAUGGCAUAAGCCAGCUUGACUGCGAGCGUGACGGCGCGAGCAGGUGCGAAAGCAGGUCAUAGUGAUCCGGUGGUUCUGAAUGGAAGGGCCAUCGCUCAACGGAUAAAAGGUACUCCGGGGAUAACAGGCUGAUACCGCCCAAGAGUUCAUAUCGACGGCGGUGUUUGGCACCUCGAUGUCGGCUCAUCACAUCCUGGGGCUGAAGUAGGUCCCAAGGGUAUGGCUGUUCGCCAUUUAAAGUGGUACGCGAGCUGGGUUUAGAACGUCGUGAGACAGUUCGGUCCCUAUCUGCCGUGGGCGCUGGAGAACUGAGGGGGGCUGCUCCUAGUACGAGAGGACCGGAGUGGACGCAUCACUGGUGUUCGGGUUGUCAUGCCAAUGGCACUGCCCGGUAGCUAAAUGCGGAAGAGAUAAGUGCUGAAAGCAUCUAAGCACGAAACUUGCCCCGAGAUGAGUUCUCCCUGACUCCUUGAGAGUCCUGAAGGAACGUUGAAGACGACGACGUUGAUAGGCCGGGUGUGUAAGCGCAGCGAUGCGUUGAGCUAACCGGUACUAAUGAACCGUGAGGCUUAACCUU